UGUAGACGUAUUUUUUUAGUG
Molecule: non-coding RNA, 21 nt
Filed under: Caenorhabditis elegans
Lineage: Eukaryota; Metazoa; Nematoda; Chromadorea; Rhabditida; Rhabditidae
Source: RNAcentral